Molecule: non-coding RNA, 137 nt
Organism: Macrostomum lignano
Lineage: Eukaryota; Metazoa; Platyhelminthes; Macrostomidae
Source: Rfam
AAAAAGGGUCUUUGCCGUUAAUGGCACAGCAAUGUGGGAGUGUAAUCCCACUGCGCUGCGGAAUGGCUAUCACGACAUUUCGAAGACAUAAUUUUUAGGGCAGGGCAGCUAACCUAAUAAACAGGCAUAGCGCCCUU